Molecule: long non-coding RNA, 859 nt
Organism: Pecten maximus
Lineage: Eukaryota; Metazoa; Mollusca; Bivalvia; Pectinida; Pectinidae
Exons: 2
Source: RefSeq, a predicted model, not a curated record
AUAAGCGAGCGUUUUAGUGUUUAGAGUUUAAAGUUUUAGUGACGUAUAAAUGGUCAGACAGCUACAACACCAAAAUGGCCACUGUCCGAGCUCUCCUUCUUCUCGUCUUGGUUAUGAUGUCCGCCAUUAGCACGUCACACCAAAUUGAGAACUUCGAGCAGACAGAUGAGGAAGUGCCCGUGUUUUAUGACUGUUCAGACAGAGGAGUAUUUAGUGUUCCCUGCCCGGAUAUCGCAGCCUACUACCAGACCAAAAAUAACGACGGAAGAUCCAUGUGUUCUAACCCCUAUAUAAAGUCCUUCUGUUGUGUAUCAUGUAAAUAAAUGAGUGGAAUUCUAACUUUCUCGACGCUGUCUUUGACAAAGUAUCUGCAACAAAACAUUGUGAAAAGAACUCUUUCUGUGCCGCCUCCUCGUGGAAAAUUUACAUCACUGUAAAAUAGAUAAAUUAAUUUGUGAGUACAACUCUUUAACCGAACAAUAAGCGGGGGUAUAUUGUAAAAUGAACACACCUUCUGUUUUAUAGCGCUUGAUAUCCUUGUCAACAAAUCUCUUGGAUUAUGAAAUAUAUCUUAAAUUACUUAUCCAAACUUACUGGGGAAAAAACCGAGCUCAAUCGACGCGACGAGGAAAACGUUGCUUCUAUUGACAUGACAUUGGGCUACCAGCUCCGUAGCUCCGCUACCAGGACGUUUAUUGACAGAAAGGAAAAGGAAUUUUAUAUACCGGUACACAGUAACAACAAGAGGGGCUGAGGAUUCCUGCAAAGUGUCAUUCUACUAUCGGAUACUUAUAUAGAUAUUUCCAAUUUCCAGAAUCUUUUUUAUAAAUACACAGCAAAAUAAACAACACAACUUGUU